Molecule: ribosomal RNA, 164 nt
Filed under: uncultured bacterium
Lineage: Bacteria
Description: partial 16S rRNA
Rfam family: Bacterial small subunit ribosomal RNA
Source: RNAcentral
UAGGGAAUCUUCCACAAUGGACGAAAGUCCGAUGGAGCAACGCCGCGUGAGUGAAGAAGGGUUUCGGCUCGUAAAACUCUGUUGUUAAAGAAGAACAUAUCUGAGAGUAACUGUUCAGGUAUUGACGGUAUUUAACCAGAAAGCCACGGCUAACUACGUGCCAA